This 817-nucleotide ribosomal RNA is filed under the name uncultured Pseudomonadota bacterium. Its description in RNAcentral is "bacterial SSU rRNA". It matches the Rfam family "Bacterial small subunit ribosomal RNA", at positions 58 to 850 of the family's 1533-position model. The record is from RNAcentral. Lineage: Bacteria; Pseudomonadati; Pseudomonadota.
CAAGUCGGACGAGAAAGGAGACCUCGGUCUCUGAGUAAAGUGGCGCACGGGUGCGUAACACGUAAGUAACCUACCCCAAACUCUGGGAUAACUCUCCGAAAGGAGAGCUAAGACUGGAUAGGGUCCUUGAGGUGUAGGCCGCAGGGGGAAAACAAGCCUCUGUUUCACGCUUGUGGUUUGGGAUGAGCUUGCGGCCCAUUAGCUUGUUGGUGGGGUAACGGCCUACCAAGGCGACGAUGGGUAGCUGGUCUGAGAGGAUGAUCAGCCACACUGGCACUGAGACACGGGCCAGACUCCUACGGGAGGCAGCAGUGGGGAAUUUUGCGCAAUGGGCGAAAGCCUGACGCAGUAACGCCGCGUGGAGGAUGAAGGCCUUCGGGUUGUAAACUCCUGUCAGGAGGAACGACGGAGAAAUGGUGAUAAGCCCUUUCCUCCAGACGGUACCUCCAAAGGAAGCCCCGGCUAAUUCCGUGCCAGCAGCCGCGGUAAUACGGAAGGGGCAAGCGUUGUUCGGAAUCAUUGGGCGUAAAGGGCGCGUAGGUGGUUCUGUGUGUCUACUGUGAAAGCGUACGGCUCAACCGUAUUUAGUCGGUAGAAACUGCAGGACUUGAGGCUGGGAGGGGCUGGUGGAAUUCACUGUGUAGCGGUGAAAUGCGUAGAGAUGGGGGAGAACACUCGUGGCGAAGGCGGCCAGCUAGACCAGUUCUGACACUGAGGCGCGACAGCGUGGGGAGCAAACAGGAUUAGAUACCCUGGUAGUCCACGCUGUAAACGAUGGGCACUAGGUGCCGGCGGUCUUGAUCCCGUCGGUGCCGGC